RNAcentral lists this transfer RNA (72 nucleotides) under Epicrionops cf. marmoratus UMMZ 190478. RNAcentral's name for it is "tRNA-Arg". The record is from RNAcentral. Lineage: Eukaryota; Metazoa; Chordata; Amphibia; Gymnophiona; Rhinatrematidae.
GGGAAGUUAGUCCAAUAAUGAAGACCAUUAGUUUCGACCUAAUAAAUUGUGAUUAAACUUCACAACCUCCCU